This 502-nucleotide ribosomal RNA is filed under the name uncultured bacterium. RNAcentral describes it as "partial 16S ribosomal RNA". It matches the Rfam family "Bacterial small subunit ribosomal RNA", at positions 36 to 507 of the family's 1533-position model. The record is from RNAcentral.
CUCUCCCUCUUUCUUCGUGCCUAACACAUGCAAGUCGAACGUGAAAGGGAGCAAUCCCAAGUAAAGUGGCGUCCGGGUGAGUAACACGUAGGUAAUCUACCCCAGAAUCUGGAAUAACCGGCCGAAAGGCUGGCUAAUACUGGAUAGAGCGACGGAAUCCGUAAUUGGGUUUUUCGGGAAAGGGAGCCUGUAAAACGGCCUUCGUUCUGGGAUGAGCCUGCGUCCCAUCAGCUAGUUGGUGAGGUAAAAGCUUACCAAGGCAAUGACGGGUAGCUGGUCUGAGAGGACGAUCAGCCACACUGGAACUGAAACACGGUCCAGACUCCUACGGGAGGCAGCAGUGGGGAAUCUUGCGCAAUGGACGAAAGUCUGACGCAGCAACGCCGCGUGAGUGAAGAAGGCCUUCGGGUUGUAAAGCUCUGUCGAGUGGGACGAAAAUGCUUGGAGUUCACAGCUCCAGGAACUGACGGUACCACUAAAGGAAGCACCGGCUAACUCCGUG